RNAcentral lists this transfer RNA (75 nucleotides) under Trichonephila clavipes. Its description in RNAcentral is "tRNA-Thr". The record is from RNAcentral. Lineage: Eukaryota; Metazoa; Arthropoda; Arachnida; Araneae; Nephilidae.
GCCGCCAAACCAGUAUGGUGGAUAUGACCCUCGGCUUGUAACCGAGUGGGCUCGGGUUCGAAUCCUGAGAAGGCA